Long non-coding RNA from Anguilla rostrata (American eel), 2251 nucleotides. RefSeq lists it as uncharacterized. The transcript has 4 exons. NCBI's taxonomy places the organism in Eukaryota, Metazoa, Chordata, Actinopteri, Anguilliformes, Anguillidae. The record is from RefSeq and is a predicted model, not a curated record.
CCUUCAUUAAAACAACGAGCAAGCAACGUCAUUAAAGAAAGCUUAGAUAGUUUCACUUUAUGCUUUUUGACCGAGUUUAACGUUGAGUCAAAAGAGCGAGCAUAACAUUAGUGCUACACCACCGAAAUUAAACACAGUGUUGCGAUUUGGUCCUGUAGGAAAGGUUACCAGUUUUGUGGCAACCGGUGCCUACUACGGGCUUUUGCUACCAAACAAACUCAGGCAGCUACAUGGCUACAAGGUAGGCCCUAAAACUUUGGACUACAGUGAUGACGUCUUUUUGCAGACCAACUCGGAAGUUUCUUCCGCCAUGAGUUCCCUCGGUAGAUUUCCCAUAGGGAUUUAGUUUUCUGCGGAAAUUAAGGUCUAUGGUUAACGUACGUCUGAGGGACUUCAAAGUUUUGUUAAAUUACACAAAUUGUUAUCGCAACCGUGAAUUUCGAAGCCGUCAUGUGUUUUGGUAAGUGGUAAAAUGGUAAGUUGCUAUAUUGAAACUACAACGGUUGUCGCGUGCGGGCGGGCUAGUAUGGGAACCAACAUUCUCUUCAGAUGGUAACACUAUGCGAGGAGGAUCCCUCAGACACAGACUUGGGUGAACGUAUAGGAAUUAGUUGGCUGCCUCCUGUCCAUAAGGGUGCCAUCUGCCUGAGCCUUUGUCUGCUGCCACCAAACUCGGAGGCAUGGCCAAGUGGCUCUCCAUCUGGCUUUAGGUAGACACCAGCACCAGGCCAACUGUCAGCAUCAUCCUGUUCCACUCUACCAACCGGGGCAGAAGGUACAUCCCUCCACCCAUUAUCUUCCUCGCCAGGUGGAGUCUUGGAAUAUGGCUCCCAGGUUCAUCGACUCUUCAAAAUCCUGCAUACUGUAUCAGUCCGGUUACCUACAAACUCCUCCUGCCGCAGUUCAUGCAGUUCCACCCUGCCUUCUAAGUGAGGCCCACCGCCUCAAGCCGGUAGUGUCCAGCCCCUUGGCCCUGCCCACCCAACAGCCACCACCUCCUCCGAUCAUCGAGGGGCAGCUCACUUAAAUGGUCCACCGCAUCCUUGCCAGUCAUCGAGUGAGAUGGCCUAGGUUCUAUCUGCCCUUGAUAUCCUGGAACCCCAGCUCAUCCGUGACCUCCGCCAACGGUGUCCCAGGGGAAGGUCGAGGGCCGUUCCUCAGAGGGGGUAAUGCUCUAUGCUAUGAAAGGCACACAGGGGUAUUGCAUUGCAUUCAUCGCCAAUCCUGACCAGUUCAGCUUAUUUUUGGCCAAUGGGAUGUUGGUGCCAAUGUCAUAUUUUCUAUAGAGCAGGCAGGUUAUUCUAGCAGUCAAUUUCUAUGCCUUAGCAUUCCAUAAGAUUAUUGUAUAGGUUUACCUCUUGGAGGCUCACAGCAUAGGUUGGCUUAGGGUGUGCUUUCCCAUCUUGUUAAUGUUAGUCUUACCACAAGGUACAUUUACUGUCUGAUCCAGUCUCCCAAUAUACUAGCACACCAAACAUGUAAUUAAUAACCACACUUGUCUUUCAAACGGUUACAUAGAAAGGUUUUGAUGUAUCUGUUAUUCUCAUCAGCAAGUAAGUUUCAUUUUAACCUCAGGGAUGUAUUGUUAUUGAGUGACCCAAAUCAAAAAUUUAAAGAUUUUUACUGGCACCUCCAUACUCAUUCAUUAAUUAUACACAGGGCAGGAAGAGAAGGGAAAAUCCCUCCCCUUUCUUCCAAACACAUAAAUUGUUGUGCAUGCAUGGACGUAUCUGUCUUUUUUAGAUCUCAGUCUUGGGUCAUUGGUCAAUGGUCCCUGGUAAAUCUGCUGAUUCCUCUCACUGGCACUCACUAUUGCUUCUGGUUACGAAUUAUUGCCUGUUUUUCUGUCCUGUUCUCUGUACCCGUUAUGUGCUUUUGCCUGUCUGGAUCUUUUGGAUUGUGUUGGAUUUUCGACUAUCACCUGUAUUGUGGUUUAAGAGACUUUGCUGAUUCUGCUGCUCUGUUGUGUGAUAAUAAACCGCCAAGUUUUUCCCUGAUUUUUCUGAUCUGCUUUUGAGUGAUACCCCAGAACCUGACAAACUUAUUGGCUGGCUGCAUGUACCUGUUGCAUUUUGGGAUAUACAAGGAGCGACAAGCUGUGACCAGCUUUUGGUGAUGAAGGAUCACAGCCAUUUGUAUAAAACAGGGAAAUUUGCCAAUUUGGCAGUCAUGCUUGAAACGGAAGAAGCUUAUAUAUGACCUUGGCUCACAAACUGUCUCUAUUCUAGACCAACACGCCUGUCAAGGUCCA